GGCUCAGGAUGAACGCGGGCGGUAUGCUUAACACAUGCAAGUCGAACGAUGUUUUAGGACAUAGUGGCGGACGGGUGAGUAACGCGUAAGAAUCUACCUUCAGGUUUGGGACAACCAUUGGAAACGGUGGCUAAUACCGAAUGUGCCGAGAGGUGAAAGGCUUGCUGCCUGAAGAAGAGCUUGCGUCUGAUUAGCUAGUUGGUGGGGUAAGAGCCUACCAAGGCGACGAUCAGUAGCUGGUCUGAGAGGAUGAUCAGCCACACUGGGACUGAGACACGGCCCAGACUCCUACGGGAGGCAGCAGUGGGGAAUUUUCCGCAAUGGGCGAAAGCCUGACGGAGCAAUACCGCGUGAGGGAGGAAGGCUCUUGGGUUGUAAACCUCUUUUCUCAGGGAAGAAAAAAAUGACGGUACCUGAGGAAUAAGCAUCGGCUAACUCCGUGCAGCAGCCGCGGUAAUACGGAGGAUGCAAGCGUUAUCCGGAAUGAUUGGGCGUAAAGGGUCCGCAGGUGGUAGUGUAAGUCUGCUGUUAAAGAGUCACGCUCAACGUGAUAAAAGCAGUGGAAACUACACAACUAGAGUACGGUAGGGGCAGAAGGAAUUCCUGGUGUAGCGGUGAAAUGCGUAGAUAUCAGGAAGAACACCGGUGGCGAAAGCGUUCUGCUAGACCUGUACUGACACUGAGGGACGAAAGCUAGGGGAGCGAAUGGGAUUAGAUACCCCAGUAGUCCUAGCCGUAAACGAUGGAUACUAGGUGUGGCUUGUAUCGACCCGAGCCGUACCGUAGCUAACGCGUUAAGUAUCCCGCCUGGGGAGUACUCACGCA
Molecule: ribosomal RNA, 825 nt
Filed under: uncultured bacterium
Lineage: Bacteria
Description: bacterial SSU rRNA
Rfam family: Bacterial small subunit ribosomal RNA
Source: RNAcentral